Molecule: ribosomal RNA, 1373 nt
Filed under: uncultured bacterium
Lineage: Bacteria
Description: bacterial SSU rRNA
Rfam family: Bacterial small subunit ribosomal RNA
Source: RNAcentral
GAUGAACGCUGGCGGCGUGCCUAAUACAUGCAAGUCGAGCGAACAGAUGAGAAGCUUGCUUCUCUGAUGUUAGCGGCGGACGGGUGAGUAACACGUGGGUAACCUACCUAUAAGACUGGGAUAACUCCGGGAAACCGGGGCUAAUACCGGAUAAUAUUUUGAACCGCAUGGUUCAAUAGUGAAAGACGGUUUCGGCUGUCACUUAUAGAUGGACCCGCGCCGUAUUAGCUAGUUGGUAAGGUAACGGCUUACCAAGGCGACGAUACGUAGCCGACCUGAGAGGGUGAUCGGCCACACUGGAACUGAGACACGGUCCAGACUCCUACGGGAGGCAGCAGUAGGGAAUCUUCCGCAAUGGGCGAAAGCCUGACGGAGCAACGCCGCGUGAGUGAUGAAGGUCUUCGGGUCGUAAAACUCUGUUGUUAGGGAAGAACAAAUUUGUUAGUAACUGAACAAGUCUUGACGGUACCUAACCAGAAAGCCACGGCUAACUACGUGCCAGCAGCCGCGGUAAUACGUAGGUGGCAAGCGUUAUCCGGAAUUAUUGGGCGUAAAGCGCGCGUAGGCGGUUUCUUAAGUCUGAUGUGAAAGCCCACGGCUCAACCGUGGAGGGUCAUUGGAAACUGGGAAACUUGAGUGCAGAAGAGGAGAGUGGAAUUCCAUGUGUAGCGGUGAAAUGCGCAGAGAUAUGGAGGAACACCAGUGGCGAAGGCGGCUCUCUGGUCUGUAACUGACGCUGAUGUGCGAAAGCGUGGGGAUCAAACAGGAUUAGAUACCCUGGUAGUCCACGCCGUAAACGAUGAGUGCUAAGUGUUAGGGGGUUUCCGCCCCUUAGUGCUGCAGCUAACGCAUUAAGCACUCCGCCUGGGGAGUACGACCGCAAGGUUGAAACUCAAAGGAAUUGACGGGGACCCGCACAAGCGGUGGAGCAUGUGGUUUAAUUCGAAGCAACGCGAAGAACCUUACCAAAUCUUGACAUCCUUUGACCGCUCUAGAGAUAGAGUCUUCCCCUUCGGGGGACAAAGUGACAGGUGGUGCAUGGUUGUCGUCAGCUCGUGUCGUGAGAUGUUGGGUUAAGUCCCGCAACGAGCGCAACCCUUAAGCUUAGUUGCCAUCAUUAAGUUGGGCACUCUAGGUUGACUGCCGGUGACAAACCGGAGGAAGGUGGGGAUGACGUCAAAUCAUCAUGCCCCUUAUGAUUUGGGCUACACACGUGCUACAAUGGAUAAUACAAAGGGCAGCGAAUCCGCGAGGCCAAGCAAAUCCCAUAAAAUUAUUCUCAGUUCGGAUUGUAGUCUGCAACUCGACUACAUGAAGCUGGAAUCGCUAGUAAUCGUAGAUCAGCAUGCUACGGUGAAUACGUUCCCGGGUCU